GUGGGGAAUAUUGGACAAUGGGCGAAAGCCUGAUCCAGCAAUGCCGCGUGAGUGAUGAAGGCCCUAGGGUUGUAAAGCUCUUUUACCCGGGAUGAUAAUGACAGUACCGGGAGAAUAAGCUCCGGCUAACUCCGUGCCAGCAGCCGCGGUAAUACGGAGGGAGCUAGCGUUGUUCGGAAUUACUGGGCGUAAAGCGCGCGUAGGCGGUUUUUCAAGUCAGAGGUGAAAGCCCGGGGCUCAACCCCGGAAUUGCCUUUGAAACUGGAAGACUUGAAUCUUGGAGAGGUCAGUGGAAUUCCGAGUGUAGAGGUGAAAUUCGUAGAUAUUCGGAAGAACACCAGUGGCGAAGGCGACUGACUGGACAAGUAUUGACGCUGAGGUGCGAAAGCGUGGGGAGCAAACAGG
This 405-nucleotide ribosomal RNA is filed under the name uncultured Sphingopyxis sp. RNAcentral describes it as "bacterial SSU rRNA". It matches the Rfam family "Bacterial small subunit ribosomal RNA", at positions 354 to 776 of the family's 1533-position model. The record is from RNAcentral. Lineage: Bacteria; Pseudomonadati; Pseudomonadota; Alphaproteobacteria; Sphingomonadales; Sphingopyxidaceae.